Long non-coding RNA from Pocillopora damicornis (cauliflower coral), 378 nucleotides. NCBI's taxonomy places the organism in Eukaryota, Metazoa, Cnidaria, Anthozoa, Scleractinia, Pocilloporidae. The record is from RefSeq and is a predicted model, not a curated record.
CAGAAAAAACCAUUACCAGAAAUUUUGUUUGUCUCGCUGGGCGUGACCAUCUCACCGUUCCAACCAACCGCGAGAAGCUUUUAUUAGAAGAAAAUGGCCUUGGAGAGAAAAAGUUGCAGAUCCCUACGAAUGCAUCGAAGGAGCAGGUCAAGGAGGUUUUGUACAAGGCCUUCCGUCCAUUACAAAGUUGUGGCGGAUUCGAAAUGCUGUUGCACGCAGACAACUCGCGCACUAGGUUACAAGUUGUAAAGUAUGGGUCGUGCAAUACCGACGAACUUAGGUGUUUGGGCAUAGGCCGAGUUUAUAUUCGGCCCAUACAAGUAGAUAUAACUUUGGGCGACAUUAUUCAGCAAGUUGCGACUGUAACAGAUCGAACGG